GGAUAGGUGGCAGAGCGGUUGAAUGCACUAGUCUUGAAAACUGGCGAGGGCGCAAGUCCUCCGGGGGUUCGAAUCCCUUCCUAUCCGCCA
RNAcentral lists this transfer RNA (90 nucleotides) under Rickettsiales bacterium. RNAcentral's name for it is "tRNA-Ser". It matches the Rfam family "tRNA". From Rfam's summary of the family: Transfer RNA (tRNA) molecules are approximately 80 nucleotides in length. Lineage: Bacteria; Pseudomonadati; Pseudomonadota; Alphaproteobacteria; Rickettsiales. The record is from RNAcentral.